GUGCCAGCAGCCGCGGUAAUACGGAGGAUCCAAGCGUUAUCCGGAAUCAUUGGGUUUAAAGGGUCCGUAGGCGGCCUUAUAAGUCAGUGGUGAAAUCUCCUAGCUCAACUAGGAAACUGCCAUUGAUACUGUAGGGCUUGAAUUAUUGUGAAGUAACUAGAAUAUGUAGUGUAGCGGUGAAAUGCUUAGAUAUUACAUGGAAUACCAAUUGCGAAGGCAGGUUACUAACAAUGGAUUGACGCUGAUGGACGAAAGCGUGGGGAGCGAACAGGAUUAGAUACCCUGGUAGUCCACGCCGUAAACGAUGGAUACUAGCUGUUGGGAGCAAUCUCAGUGGCUAAGCGAAAGUGAUAAGUAUCCCACCUGGGGAGUACGAACGCAAGUUUGAA
Molecule: ribosomal RNA, 389 nt
Filed under: uncultured bacterium
Lineage: Bacteria
Description: bacterial SSU rRNA
Rfam family: Bacterial small subunit ribosomal RNA
Source: RNAcentral